CCCCUUCCCUGCUCACACUCUGUCUCUGUCUGUCUCUCUCUCUGAAAAAUAAGUAAACAUUAAAAAAAAAAGAAGUCCGAAAGAACUAUAUGAUUUUUCUGUAAAAGUAUAAAUUAACAAAACUGAUCCAAGAAAAGUUAGAAAAAAAAAACCCCUCCUGAACAGACCCAUAACUGUAUCCUAGAUUGGAAAGAUAAUUAAAGACCUCCCAUUAGAAAAAAAAAAAAAAAAAGUUAUGCCACAGAAGCAUGUAUCAAGACAAGAUAGUUUUAUAAUUAGGUUCUAUUUAAUCCUUAAAAACAGGUAAUACAUAUGGUUUUGUGUGCUAUACCAAGCCACAAAAAAUGUAUAAACUCCCUUAAACCUUAAAAUCUGGUAAGUACAAACCAUAGGUAUAGUUAUUGA
Molecule: long non-coding RNA, 405 nt
Organism: Herpailurus yagouaroundi (jaguarundi)
Lineage: Eukaryota; Metazoa; Chordata; Mammalia; Carnivora; Felidae
Exons: 2
Source: RefSeq, a predicted model, not a curated record